UGCGAGUCCGGGUCGCCUCUCGAGGCGGCCCGGAGCCCCGGUGUCCCGGCAGUCUGCCCGGCGGUCUUGAGUACGGAGCUGGCCCGCGACUCUGUUCGCGCCCGCGACCUUGGCGAGCGACGGCCGGAACCCGUCAGGCGGACUCGUCCGCCGCGGGCCGGCCGGCGUUGUCGGUCAGGGACUCGCUCGGGCAGCGGUCUUCCAAUCCCGUCUGCGGCGCUCAAAGCUGGGCGGCCCACCCGACCCGUCUUGAAACACGGACCAAGGAGUCUAACAUGUGCGCGAGUCAUUGGGCUCGAGCUAAACCCAAGGGCGCAUUGAACGAGAAGGCGGGGCUUGCCCCCGCCGAGGGACGAUGGGGCGGCGCUCGCGUCGCCCCCGCAGUCCCGGGGCGUCUCGUCCUAGUUCCGCUCGUCGGUUCAAGGUGAGGCGCACCAAGAGCGCACACGUUGGGACCCGAAAGAUGGUGAACUAUGCCUGGCCAGGACGAAGUCAGGGGAAACCCUGAUGGAGGUCCGUAGCGAUUCUGACGUGC
This 535-nucleotide ribosomal RNA is filed under the name Choroterpes basalis. Its description in RNAcentral is "eukaryotic LSU rRNA". The stretch from base 261 to 535 matches the Rfam family "Eukaryotic large subunit ribosomal RNA", at positions 665 to 894 of the family's 3401-position model. The record is from RNAcentral. Lineage: Eukaryota; Metazoa; Arthropoda; Insecta; Ephemeroptera; Leptophlebiidae.